GGGGAGGAGUCCGAAGGAAAUGUUAGCGAUGACAGCGGUCCGAGGUCUCUGAGUCUUUCCAGCGAAUCGGAAGAUUCACAGAAAGGGGCUCCCUUGGUCAGAGCAAGGGGGGUGCCGAGGGGGACACCCCAGGACGAAGGGGCCAGAGGGGACUCAGAGAGCAGCAGUUGGAAAUCAGGACCAGCGUCCACACCAGAGUGCAGUAGGGGGGAGGGGUCCCAGGCAUCGGGAUCAGGCGGCGCACUGCCAGUGGGAGGACAUGAGUCAGGAUUGGCCACGCCUCCAUCGGGGAGCGAGGAAACGGUCGAGAGGAAGGUUGAAGGCUGGGCGCGCGCGCCAAGUUCAAAUGUACAGGAGGGCGGCGCAGUUGGCAGCCCGGAUAGGGAGCCAGGUCCCAAAGCCCGCCGAAAAGAGGGGGAGGAGUCAGGGGGGUCAACGUCAGCGUCAGAAGAAUCCAGGAAGGAAGGGACCCCGGGGGGUAGCAGGACCCAGAGGAGAAAGGAGAGACGUAAGAGGUGGAGUAAGGCUAGAAUCUUAAACUGGUGUACAGGGG
Molecule: long non-coding RNA, 553 nt
Filed under: Podarcis lilfordi (Lilford's wall lizard)
Lineage: Eukaryota; Metazoa; Chordata; Lepidosauria; Squamata; Lacertidae
Source: RNAcentral